GUCGAUGUGGUGUUUGUGGACCAGCUAUAGUUAGUAGACUUUUGGAGGAAAUAGAAUCAAAUGGUCUUCAAGGAAAAGUAUCUGUUAGUCCAUGCUCACACAUCGGGGGGCACAAGUUUGCUGGAAAUGUGAUCAUAUAUGGACGAAACACUCACAAGGAAGUCUCCGGACACUGGUAUGGCUAUGUUACACCUGAUGAUGUACCACAGUUGCUUGAACAGCAUGUUGCUAAAGGAGAGAUUG
Molecule: unclassified non-coding RNA, 243 nt
Filed under: Hevea brasiliensis (rubber tree)
Lineage: Eukaryota; Viridiplantae; Streptophyta; Magnoliopsida; Malpighiales; Euphorbiaceae
Source: RNAcentral